This 409-nucleotide ribosomal RNA is filed under the name uncultured bacterium. RNAcentral describes it as "bacterial SSU rRNA". It matches the Rfam family "Bacterial small subunit ribosomal RNA", at positions 354 to 777 of the family's 1533-position model. The record is from RNAcentral.
GUGGGGAAUAUUGGGCAAUGGGCGCAAGCCUGACCCAGCAACGCCGCGUGAAUGAAGAAGGUCUUCGGAUUGUAAAGUUCUGUGACUGGGGACGAAAAAAAUGACGGUACCCAGAGAGGAAGCUCCGGCAAACUACGUGCCAGCAGCCGCGGUAAUACGUAGGGAGCAAGCGUUGUCCGGAAUGACUGGGCGUAAAGGGUGCGUAGGCGGUUUCGUAAGUUAGAAGUGUAAUCCCGGGGCUUAACCCCGGAGCUACUUCUAAGACUGCGGGACUUGAGUGUGGGAGAGGUAAGUGGAAUUCCUAGUGUAGCGGUGGAAUGCGUAGAUAUUAGGAGGAACACCAGUGGCGAAGGCGGCUUACUGGACCAUAACUGACGCUGAGGCACGAAAGCGUGGGGAGCAAACAGGA